GUGCAGCAGUCGAGAAUUUUUCUCAAUGGGGGAAACCCUGAAGGAGCGACGCCGCGUGGAGGAUGAAGGUCUUCGGGUUGUAAACUCCUGUCAUUUGGGAACAAGGUGCACGUGUUUACCGCACGUGUAUUGAUAGUACCAGAAGAGGAAGAGACGGCUAACUCUGUGCCAGCAGCCGCGGUAAUACAGAGGUCUCAAGCGUUGUUCGGAUUCAUUGGGCGUAAAGGGUGCGUAGGUGGCGCCGUAAGUCAGGUGUGAAAUCUCGGGGCUUAACUCCGAAACUGCAUUUGAUACUGCGGUGCUUGAGGACUGGAGAGGAGACUGGAAUUUACGGUGUAGCAGUGAAAUGCGUAGAGAUCGUAAGGAAGACCAGUGGCGAAGGCGGGUCUCUGGACAGUUCCUGACACUGAGGCACGAAGGCCAGGGGAGCAAACGGGAUUAGAUACCCGCGUAGU
This 455-nucleotide ribosomal RNA is filed under the name uncultured organism. RNAcentral's name for it is "bacterial SSU rRNA". It matches the Rfam family "Bacterial small subunit ribosomal RNA", at positions 346 to 794 of the family's 1533-position model. The record is from RNAcentral.